UUAAUGCAUCUACAAGUAAAAAAAUUUCUCAUUAGAAAGAUAAAGAUAUAUUUUCUUGAAAAAGAAUUAAUAAUUGUCGAUGGAUGAAAAGCAGGGACACAGUGCGUCCUUGAACCGACAUCCACCUUUCGACUAACCUAAUCUCUUCCAUCUCUCUCGACCAUUAAGGAGUAGAUAGGAAUUGCUCACGUCGUAGCGAUCCGAACAAUUCAUUAAACUAUUCAAUCAAGCGACAAAUGAUGUGUACAAAGGGCAAGUCGAACCUCCUCCUCCUCCUCACAUCGCGGUGAUCCGAACAAUUCAUUGAACUAUUCAAUCAAUAGGAGCGGCAAGCGGUGUGUACAAAGGGCAGGUCGAACCUCCUCCUCCUCCUCCUUACCCUUUUUGAGGAUUUUUGAAACAAGGAAACUGGUAAUCUUUUUACUGUUUUUUACUUAAUUUUGUUUUGAAGAUCUUAUCCUACAUUUGAAGAUAGUCGAACGUGAAAUUGCAGUGACAAGAAGUAAUCGGAACUUUUUUGUAUUAACUUAAUUUUGGAAUUCAAUUAUUACAUCAUUGACUA
Molecule: non-coding RNA, 562 nt
Organism: Cucurbita pepo subsp. pepo (vegetable marrow)
Lineage: Eukaryota; Viridiplantae; Streptophyta; Magnoliopsida; Cucurbitales; Cucurbitaceae
Source: RefSeq, a predicted model, not a curated record